UUUGUGAGUGAUGAGUUGCACCCUUAGUCAGGUGGCUGGUAGCAGGGGCACAGGUGGGACACCAAUGUGCACAUGGGCUGUCUGGCUCACC
Small nucleolar RNA from Oncorhynchus tshawytscha (Chinook salmon), 91 nucleotides. The record is from Ensembl. NCBI's taxonomy places the organism in Eukaryota, Metazoa, Chordata, Actinopteri, Salmoniformes, Salmonidae.